UAAGCAGAUAGUGAAAACAGGUGGCUCAACCAUUCUGACUAUUAUCUGAACUGGUGAACUCGAGAAUGGUAGAGGUGAUUGGAAUUUCUAGUGUAGGGGUAAUAUCCGUAGAUAUUAGAAGGAACACCAAUGGCGUAGGCAGAUCACUGGACCAUUUCUGACGCUGAGGCACGAAAGCGUGGGGAGCGAACCGGAUUAGAUACCCGGGUAGUCCACGCCGUAAACGAUGGAUGCUA
RNAcentral lists this ribosomal RNA (236 nucleotides) under uncultured Candidatus Saccharibacteria bacterium. RNAcentral describes it as "partial 16S ribosomal RNA". It matches the Rfam family "Bacterial small subunit ribosomal RNA", at positions 584 to 818 of the family's 1533-position model. The record is from RNAcentral. Lineage: Bacteria; Candidatus Saccharimonadota.